UGACCUCAAAUCAGGUAGGACUACCCGCUGAACUUAAGCAUAUCAAUAAGCGGAGGAAAAGAAACUAACAAGGAUUCCCCUAGUAACUGCGAGUGAAGCGGGAAAAGCUCAAAUUUAAAAUCUGUCAGUCUUUGGCUGUCCGAGUUGUAAUCUAGAGAAGUGUUAUCCGCGCUGGACCGUGUACAAGUCUCCUGGAAUGGAGCGUCAUAGAGGGUGAGAAUCCCGUCUUUGACACGGACUGCCAGGGCUUUGUGAUGCGCUCUCAAAGAGUCGAGUUGUUUGGGAAUGCAGCUCAAAAUGGGUGGUAAAUUCCAUCUAAAGCUAAAUAUUGGCGAGAGACCGAUAGCGAACAAGUACCGUGAGGGAAAGAUGAAAAGAACUUUGGAAAGAGAGUUAAACAGUACGUGAAAUUGCUGAAAGGGAAACGCUUGAAGUCAGUCGCGUUGUCCAGGGAUCAACCUUGCUUUUGCUUGGUGUACUUUCUGGUUGACGGGUCAGCAUCAAUUUUGACUAUUGGAAAAAGAUUAGGGGAAUGUGGCAUCUUUGGAUGUGUUAUAGCCCUUGGUUGCAUACAAU
RNAcentral lists this ribosomal RNA (576 nucleotides) under Cortinarius camphoratus. RNAcentral describes it as "eukaryotic LSU rRNA". It matches the Rfam family "Eukaryotic large subunit ribosomal RNA", at positions 1 to 577 of the family's 3401-position model. Lineage: Eukaryota; Fungi; Basidiomycota; Agaricomycetes; Agaricales; Cortinariaceae. The record is from RNAcentral.